Molecule: long non-coding RNA, 471 nt
Filed under: Zea mays
Lineage: Eukaryota; Viridiplantae; Streptophyta; Magnoliopsida; Poales; Poaceae
Description: long non-coding RNA NONZMAT001855
Source: RNAcentral
GAACGAGUUUGUUAGGGUCCCUUAGAUCUCGGUAACCACCAUGGUGUGGUCCUCCCGCACCAGCCGGGUGAAGGGUAUCCUCAGCCCUUGGAACAAUAAAACCGAAAUCAUGUUCGCCGUGAGUGCCAUCAACCAAAGAGGAGGGAAGUGAGGCUGCAGACGAGGACUGACAUUGUUGCACUCGUUCCAUCAGUGGAGACUACUCAGGGCGCUUCGUGGAAGCACGACGGGUGUCGUGGGGGAGGGUUCAGAGGCCACGAUUGAUCAGAGCACACAGAAUCGCUAACUAGAGUCAAAAUCCGUUGUGGAGCCGCAACACGUCGAGAGCAGCUACCUCAACGCCACCGUUUUGGGUAAGCACACCUCCGAUCACUUCGCCUUCGUCUACACUUCGCCCGGCACCAAUCCACGUUGGGAAUUAAUCCUAGGGAGACUGUAUUUCACCUCGCCGGUGAACUCUCGGUCAUGGGG